GACUGUGAGAAAGUUUCACAGAAAAGGCAGGCAGAUAAGAAGAACACGGUCCGUUGAUUUUCAAGAAAAGCGGCUAAAGAGAAAAUUUGCAUGCCUGGAAAUAUCCGUGGCUUCAUUUCACCACGACCAAUCCUUUUCUAAGUUUCUCAUCCUCUCACUCUCCCAUGUUCUCAGCCUUUCACACACUCUUCUCUGUGCUACUGAAUGGGCAAGUAUGACAGUACGAAAGGCAACUGGAGUCUGCUAUUUGCAAAAGCGCGCUGCCGUGCUGUUAACUCUCUCGUUGGAGGAAUCGUGACGAGCUGAGUCAGACUGACGACUGUGUCCAUAUUGAUCUGAUGUAUCCUGAGUGAGUCAGUAGACGACAGGUCUCUCCAGGUCUGUACCUCGAUCAAACAGUCAUCUGCCCUAAAACGAUCAGUGACGAAAGCACGUGCGCACAAGGCAGGACAGCGGCAACUUUUGUGCAGCAUCUCACUCAAAAAAGACAAAGGAGUCAUGAGCAGACAUUACGAUGACCUGGCUGUUUUCUCUCUCACACAUGGAAAAUCAGCCAAUCGAAGAACCCCACCUAUGAGAAGGAGAGAUGUGCGUGAAAGAAGCGGGGGGAAUACAACCCAAAGAAGGGCUGGCAAAGAUAGAAACAUCUGAGAAGACAUCAUGGACCAUCAUGGCAUUGUUGACACCUUAUUUCCCUCAUUUACAAGUCAUUUCUUCAUGAUAUAAUAUGCUUACCUUAUAGUCACCAUUAUCUGCUGUACACCUGCUACACACAUCUACAGUGAAACAAGUUUCAGGAAGGCCAGUUUAUGUUCAUACAUCUGUCCUGUAAAGGAAUGAUACAUACAUGUUAAUGGAAACGUAAAAGAUGCAACAAUUCUUGUACCGUUGACGGAUUUUUCGAUUUGAAAUAUUUAAAACAGAGUUUGAGCCCUAACAAUAGUGAAUAAUAUAUUAAAAAGUUUCGAAACUUUUCCUUCUCCGUUUUCUUUUCCCAUUUGAAAGGUUUCUAGGGGCCUGUAGGGAGAUGUAUUUAUUCCCAAAGGAAAAAAGCUAAAUCAGAUUUGGUUACACAAAUUAUUGUGUGUAACAGAUGUAAAGUAUGUAGUGCUCAAUUUAUUCUCACGAACAACUAAUAGAUAAACUGGAAUUGAACCCUGACACAACAAGUUAACGGUUCAACCACAUACAUUUCCUGUUUGGACCUUUUAUCAGAAACAACAUCUGGAUUCGGACAGACAGAGAGGGAGAGAGGCAGCAAUGAGACCCUGGAAGAUUCCCUUCAAGAUUUGGUUCAUGUGCCGGUGAUGGUGUUCCGUCACCGUAAGCUGUUGAACCUGAAGCUUCCGGAUGAGUUCUGGGUUCUGACUUUAUUGUGAGUUUCCCAAAGAACAAGGAGUUUUUUUUUAACAUGCACAGGCGAGGCAGUGACUUUCAGCUUUGCAGAAACACCGCAGACCUUUAUCAAAGCAGACAGUAGUCGGACUCCUCAAACACAAGUGUCACUGGUAACAUUAAUGAGACAUUAAUAUUAUUCCACUGACGUGGCUCCCCCUCGCACCUAUCAGAGCUAUUGCUAAUGUUAUGUGGUGGUUAAUACUGUAGUUACACAUGUGCAUUACCUGCUAUGAAAAGGCAAAAUGUCCGCA
Scophthalmus maximus (turbot) is the source of this 1649-nucleotide long non-coding RNA. The record is from Ensembl. Lineage: Eukaryota; Metazoa; Chordata; Actinopteri; Pleuronectiformes; Scophthalmidae.